Molecule: ribosomal RNA, 253 nt
Filed under: uncultured bacterium
Lineage: Bacteria
Description: partial 16S ribosomal RNA
Rfam family: Bacterial small subunit ribosomal RNA
Source: RNAcentral
UACGUAGGGGGCAAGCGUUGUCCGGAAUCAUUGGGCGUAAAGAGCGUGUAGGCGGCUUGGCAAGUCUGGUGUGAAAUCUUGCGGCUCAACCGCAAGCGGUCACUGGAAACUGCCUCGCUAGAGUCCGGAAGAGGAGAGCGGAAUUCCUGGUGUAGCGGUGGAAUGCGCAGAUAUCAGGAAGAACACCCGUGGCGAAGGCGGCUCUCUGGGACGGUACUGACGCUGAGACGCGAAAGCGUGGGGAGCGAGCAGG